UGAGUAACACGUGGGUAACCUGCCUGUAAGACUGGGAUAACUCCGGGAAACCGGAGCUAAUACCGGAUAGUUCCUUGAACCGCAUGGUUCAAGGAUGAAAGACGGUUUCGGCUGUCACUUACAGAUGGACCCGCGGCGCAUUAGCUAGUUGGUGGGGUAAUGGCUCACCAAGGCGACGAUGCGUAGCCGACCUGAGAGGGUGAUCGGCCACACUGGGACUGAGACACGGCCCAGACUCCUACGGGAGGCAGCAGUAGGGAAUCUUCCGCAAUGGACGAAAGUCUGACGGAGCAACGCCGCGUGAGUGAUGAAGGUUUUCGGAUCGUAAAGCUCUGUUGUUAGGGAAGAACAAGUGCGAGAGUAACUGCUCGCACCUUGACGGUACCUAACCAGAAAGCCACGGCUAACUACGUGCCAGCAGCCGCGGUAAUACGUAGGUGGCAAGCGUUGUCCG
This 454-nucleotide ribosomal RNA is filed under the name Bacillus zhangzhouensis. RNAcentral's name for it is "bacterial SSU rRNA". It matches the Rfam family "Bacterial small subunit ribosomal RNA", at positions 107 to 547 of the family's 1533-position model. Lineage: Bacteria; Bacillati; Bacillota; Bacilli; Caryophanales; Bacillaceae. The record is from RNAcentral.